This 523-nucleotide long non-coding RNA is filed under the name Brassica napus (rape). Its description in RNAcentral is "long non-coding RNA (BNAP_LNC013332)". The record is from RNAcentral. Lineage: Eukaryota; Viridiplantae; Streptophyta; Magnoliopsida; Brassicales; Brassicaceae.
GAUUGAGAGUGGCGAACCAUUGGUUUUGGCGUGAUAGAUUAAAACGACACUGGACAUUAGGGACAUGAACUUUCAAGUUCAUAAAUAUAAUUCUAAAUAAACUGUAUGUAUUCAAUAGAAAAAGAUGUUACAUUGAUAUGUAGAAAACGUUUGGUCAAAUAAUUGAAUCAUAGCUGAAAACAAUAAUAUAAGACAAUGACUAGUUGCGAACCUACAAAAUGUUAUUGAUCAGUCCAAUAACAUAUAUCAUCUUGGUUUGUUCAUCUAUCAUUUUCAUCCUAUCCAUUUAGAUGAUUAUUCCAAAUAAUCUAUUUAGAUGAUUCAUCUAAAUAGUGUUUAAAAUCAUUUUUUCUUCCGGAUGGUUCAUCUAGAUAAAUUAUAUUUUGUUCGUUUGUUGAUCUCUAUUUCAAUAUAGAUGAGUUUAAUGAACAAAUGAUUAAUAAUUCUUGUUUUGAUUUAAUCUUAUUUUUGUUUUUUGCUAACUGUAUUAAAUUUAUUAUUUAUCUAAAUAUAGUUAUAACUA